GUGCCAGCAGCCGCGGUAAUACGUAGGGUGCAAACGUUGUCCGGAAUUAUUGGGCGUAAAGAGCUCGUAGGCGGUCUGUCGCGUCGGCUGUGAAAACUCGGGGCUCAACUUCGAGCUUGCAGUCGAUACGGGCAGGCUAGAGUUCGGCAGGGGAGACUGGAAUUCCUGGUGUAGCGGUGAAAUGCGCAGAUAUCAGGAGGAACACCGGUGGCGAAGGCGGGUCUCUGGGCCGAUACUGACGCUGAGGAGCGAAAGCGUGGGGAGCGAACAGGAUUAGAUACCCUGGUAGUCC
Molecule: ribosomal RNA, 292 nt
Filed under: uncultured microorganism
Description: partial 16S ribosomal RNA
Rfam family: Bacterial small subunit ribosomal RNA
Source: RNAcentral